RNAcentral lists this long non-coding RNA (300 nucleotides) under Elaeis guineensis (African oil palm). RNAcentral describes it as "long non-coding RNA (EGUI_LNC075649)". The record is from RNAcentral. Lineage: Eukaryota; Viridiplantae; Streptophyta; Magnoliopsida; Arecales; Arecaceae.
GGAUUCUACAUCAGCCAUUAGAUCAGAUAGGAACCUCUAAUGUGUGUGACCCUGCAGGUUCGAACCUAAGCCGGUAGCACAGGAACCAAUUCCUGUACUAAUCGAAGUGACCAUCUAGCAAUGGUACCCGACAUCCGGAUAGAUCGAAUAGUCACAAUCGCAACACUCAGAACCAACAUGAAUAUGGUUACUGUAUAAUUUAUCCUUUUGACCCCUGUGUUUAGGAUGACUCAGGGUUAAACUGUCAACCCGGAUCAGAUCAUCCGAAUCGUGCUCAACUCAAACAGUCUUGUGACUCCU